ACGAACGCUGGCGGCGUGCUUAACACCUGCCAGUCGAACGGUGAAGCGCCUUCCUUUUUGGUGGGUGUGGAUGAGUGGCGAACGGGUGAGUAACACGUGAGUAACCUGCCCCCUUCUUCUGGAUAACCGCAUGAAAGUGUGGCUAAUACGGGAUAUUCUGGGUCUGUCGCAUGAUGGGUCUGGGAAAGAUAUUGUUUCGGUGGGGGAUGGGCUCGCGGCCUAUCAGCUUGUUGGUGGGGUGAUGGCCUACCAAGGCGGUGACGGGUAGCCGGCCUGAGAGGGUGGACGGUCACACUGGGACUGAGACACGGCCCAGACUCCUACGGGAGGCAGCAGUGGGGAAUAUUGCACAAUGGGCGCAAGCCUGAUGCAGCGACGCCGCGUGAGGGAUGGAGGCCUUCGGGUUGUGAACCUCUUUCGCCAGUGAAGCAGGCCUGCCUCGUUUGUGGGUGGGUUGACGGUAGCUGGAUAAGAAGCGCCGGCUAACUACGUG
This 493-nucleotide ribosomal RNA is filed under the name uncultured bacterium. RNAcentral's name for it is "partial 16S ribosomal RNA". It matches the Rfam family "Bacterial small subunit ribosomal RNA", at positions 29 to 507 of the family's 1533-position model. The record is from RNAcentral.